GGAUUAGAUACCCUGGUAGUCCACGCCGUAAACGAUGUAUGCUAGUUGUUGGGGUCUUAAGGCCUCAGUGACGCAGAGAAAUCAUUAAGCAUACCGCCUGGGGAGUACGGCCGCAAGGUUAAAACUCAAAGGAAUUGACGGGGACCCGCACAAGCGGUGGAGCAUGUUGUUUAAUUCGAAGCAACGCGAAGAACCUUACCUACACUUGACAUCCAGAGAACUUUCCAGAGAUGGAUUGGUGCCUUCGGGAGCUCUGAGACAGGUGCUGCAUGGCUGUCGUCAGCUCGUGUUG
RNAcentral lists this ribosomal RNA (292 nucleotides) under uncultured bacterium. Its description in RNAcentral is "partial 16S ribosomal RNA". It matches the Rfam family "Bacterial small subunit ribosomal RNA", at positions 775 to 1067 of the family's 1533-position model. The record is from RNAcentral.